CGACUGGAGACCAGCCUGUCUGUGAA
RNAcentral lists this unclassified non-coding RNA (26 nucleotides) under Mus musculus (house mouse). Its description in RNAcentral is "oocyte_clustered_small_RNA2843". Lineage: Eukaryota; Metazoa; Chordata; Mammalia; Rodentia; Muridae. The record is from RNAcentral.